UAGUAGUUGCUUAUCAUGUAUAAUUUGUUCUCUAGAGCAAGGAAAAGGGACGAAGCAAGAGUCAUCACCAUAAACGCCAGAAGCACAAAGUUAAAGAGGUAGGCCGCUGUUAUUCAUAUAGCUUUAUUUUCACAAGAUUGUUAGAUUAAAAUAACUCUUUUAGGGGGAAAACUUUCAAUGUUUCAAUACAUGCAUGCCUCAAAGAGUAAACAAUUAAAAACCUGUUCUUGUCAUAUGAAAUGACUUUUUUUUUUGGGUCUAUUUGUCCCUCUUUUUACCUGCUUUAGAAGGUUCAUUUGUUUUAGGGCUAAUAUAGGAAGCACAAACUAAAACAAAAAA
Molecule: long non-coding RNA, 339 nt
Filed under: Jatropha curcas
Lineage: Eukaryota; Viridiplantae; Streptophyta; Magnoliopsida; Malpighiales; Euphorbiaceae
Description: long non-coding RNA (JCUR_LNC003549)
Source: RNAcentral